GACGGAGGGGGCUAGCGUUGUCCGGAUUUACUGGGCGUAAAGGGCGCGUAGGCGGUCCUUUAAGUCGGCGGUGAAAUUUCGCGGCUCAACUGCGAAACUGCCGCCGAUACUGGAGGACUUGAGUUCGGGAGAGGAAAGUGGAAUUCCUGGUGUAGCGGUGAAAUGCGUAGAGAUCAGGAAGAACACCCGUGGCGAAGGCGGCUUUCUGGACCGAUACUGACGCUGAGGCGCGAAAGCUAGGGGAGCGAACGGG
RNAcentral lists this ribosomal RNA (253 nucleotides) under uncultured bacterium. Its description in RNAcentral is "partial 16S ribosomal RNA". It matches the Rfam family "Bacterial small subunit ribosomal RNA", at positions 524 to 776 of the family's 1533-position model. The record is from RNAcentral.